UGCAUCAGCCAGCAGUCAGUUUAGCUGCUCUCACUGUGAUAACAUCUCAUUUGUUGUCUCUCCAGUCUCUUAUGCAGAGGAUUCAGUGACGAAGCUGCAGUAUUACACCGGGGACAGUGAGGGGGGAAGCGAUUCUGGAUCAGAACGAGAGGGAGCUUCCCCUGGGGCGUCUCAGUUGGAUUACGAUAACGUGGAGGAGCCUGCAUUGAAUGAUGAUCCCCAGACUCCAGACGACCAAGAGGGCGAUGCCUUGCCUGGAGAUGUCCCAGGGGAUGGUUAUGACGAUGUCAGAGAAGUUUCUGACCCUGAACAUGAUCCUGGUUCAGGGCAGUGUGCCCGGGAAGUUACUUGGGCCCCUCGGAUGAAUGACAAGAACAGGGAUUCACAGAGAGAUUGGAAUCUGCACUCCCUAAGAAGUGAAGGGGCCUCAGGGACUGAGAGAGACGGCCCAUUCCUGCCUCCUGGAGACCCGGGUUAUGAUGAUGUUGAAGCUGGCAUCCCUGAGACAUCAAUAUAA
RNAcentral lists this long non-coding RNA (517 nucleotides) under Chrysemys picta bellii (western painted turtle). RNAcentral describes it as "lncRNA (ENSCPBG00000012866.1)". Lineage: Eukaryota; Metazoa; Chordata; Testudines; Emydidae. The record is from RNAcentral.